GCAUAUCAAUAAGCGGAGGAAAAGAAACCAACAGGGAUUGCCCUAGUAACGGCAGUGAAGCGGCAACAGCUCAAAUUUAGAAAUCUGGCGUCUUCGGCGUCCGAGUUGUAAUUUGCAGAGGGCGCUUUGGCAUUGGCAGCGGUCCAAGUUCCUUGGAACAGGACGUCACAGAGGGUGAGAAUCCCGUACGUGGUCGCUAGCCUUUACCGUGUAAAGCCCCUUCGACGAGUCGAGUUGUUUGGGAAUGCAGCUCUUAAUGGGAGGUAAAUUUCUUCUAAAGCUAAAUACUGGCCAGAGACCGAUAGCGCACAAGUAGAGUGAUCGAAAGAUGAAAAGCACUUUGGAAAGAGAGUUAAAAAGCACGUAGAAAUUGUUGAAAGGGAAGCGCUUGCAGCCAGACUUGCCUGUAGUUGCUCAUCCGGGUUUCUACCCGGUGCACUCUUCUAUAGGCAGGCCAGCAUCAGUUUGGGCGGUUGGAUAAGGUCUCUGUCAUGUACCUCUCUUCGGGGAAGAACUUAUAGGGGAGACGACAUGCAAACCAGCCUGGACUGAGGUCCGCGCAUCUGCUAGGGAUGCUGGCGUAAUGGCUGUAAGCGGCCCGUUCUUGAAGCCACGGACCAGA
RNAcentral lists this ribosomal RNA (622 nucleotides) under Ascochyta rabiei. RNAcentral's name for it is "eukaryotic LSU rRNA". It matches the Rfam family "Eukaryotic large subunit ribosomal RNA", at positions 38 to 670 of the family's 3401-position model. The record is from RNAcentral. Lineage: Eukaryota; Fungi; Ascomycota; Dothideomycetes; Pleosporales; Didymellaceae.